AAGCACCGGCUAACUCCGUGCCAGCAGCCGCGGUAAUACGGAGGGUGCGAGCGUUAAUCGGAAUUACUGGGCGUAAAGCGCAUGCAGGUGGUUUGUUAAGUCAGAUGUGAAAAGCCCGGGGCUCAACCUCGGAAUUGCAUUUGAAACUGGCAAACUAGAGUACUGUAGAGGGGGUAGAAUUUCAGGUGUAGCGGUGAAAUGCGUAGAGAUCUGAAGGAAUACCGGUGGCGAAGGCGGCCCCCUGGANAGAUACUGACACUCAGAUGCGAAAGCGUGGGGAGCAAACAGGAUUAGAUACCCUGGUAG
RNAcentral lists this ribosomal RNA (306 nucleotides) under uncultured bacterium. Its description in RNAcentral is "bacterial SSU rRNA". It matches the Rfam family "Bacterial small subunit ribosomal RNA", at positions 488 to 793 of the family's 1533-position model. The record is from RNAcentral.